RNAcentral lists this long non-coding RNA (890 nucleotides) under Gallus gallus (chicken). Its description in RNAcentral is "lncRNA (ENSGALG00010025509.1)". The record is from RNAcentral. Lineage: Eukaryota; Metazoa; Chordata; Aves; Galliformes; Phasianidae.
CUGAGGGAAGAAUCUUCCAGGAUAUUUAAGGAAAAAAAGUCCCCUCUUGAAAAAAGUUCCCUCAGGAUUUACUUACCUUUGAAACAAAAAGUAUGCAAAAAGUUCUGCAGUUUGUCACAAUACAAAUGAAGGCCAACAUUUCAUAUGGCAAUUGUCUAGCUGCAUACAGAUGAUUUUCUACAAGGUAAUCAUCUGAUAAAGGAAGACCUGUUGUUGUUGUCACAAACAGAUUUCUGCUGUCAAAUUAGAUUUACCGAGUGUGCAUUUUUAUUUACAUUUUAAAGUUUCAUUUUAAUUUGGGGAAUCUGUGGUGAUUACAGGAUAAAUAUGUCUCAGACCUCAGGGGAACUGUUGCCUGCACAGUCCCAAAUUUCUCGACAGAUGAAACGAGCCUGACAACUCCAUUCAUUUUCAUGGCGUUAUGUUUGAUUCAAAUACAGUGGAAGUAUUUACCAUGUCUGCCACUGUCCCUUUCGGGAUUCUACUGCGACCAAAAACUGAGAAUUUGAGGACCAGUGGAAAAAUAUACCAAACACGUGAGAAAGAACUGUAUGUAUGUCCCUCUCUAACCCCGCACAUACGAAUCCUCAGAAACAAACCCAAAUUCUUCUGCAGUGGUGAAAGAGGUGGAGGAGAAAGAGAAAUUAAAGAAAAUAAGACAUACGAUGGACCAGCAAACAAUUUGUAAAUGGAAGCAGCAGGCUUUUGCUUUUCCCCACAGACAAGCAGUCCAGAACAGACCCUGAAAGGUAACAGUCUCACAAUAGUAAUGCCUACAAGAGAAACUACCAUAAACAUAGGGUCUAAUUAAAAGCAUUACAAUUUUUAAAUGCAAAUGUAGAAUAGAACUGUCAAAAUGUUUUAUCCCUAAAGUGCGAAUGCUAACCUUC